UUAGUUUGAUACCUGUCAGCUUCUGAAAAUAUAGGUUACGCCGCCUUCAUAGAAAUAGCACCCGGCCAAGUGUAUAUCUAUACGUUCGCGUCGAUGCAACACUUGCAGCCUGCUGUGACUAAAUCAAAUUUUACAGUCCGCGGUACUUACGAGAUAUUUAUUUAUAAUUAUUCGCCGAUGUCAACGAGAGGCACCCAUCGAUUCCUGGAAAAUUAAACGCCGAAAGGAUAACGCUCUAGUCGAUUCCACGUGAAAUCGGUAACCGAAGGACCGACAGGGUGACAUUUAAAUGCCAUACAUUUUAUCGGCGUUUGAUAUCAACAUUUGCUCCCAUCUCUUGUUUAUUGGCAUCCGAUCCGGGGAAGCUCGAUCGGGAAACGGACUUUGUCGAUCCAUUUUUAAUGCGACGAGUCGAGGACGUCAUUUGUAAUGGAUUAUUGAUCCGUGACAUGGACGUCGAUGUAGAGGGUUCUGCGGGGUAACAGGUAUUGAUUUAAUGCGUUUGUAAUUGGAUAUCAUGCACUGGGCAUUCUAAUGCAAUACAUAGUUUUAACCGGCUCAUUAGUCGGCUUGCUGCGAUUACAUGUAUUACACGACCGAUGGGACACGAUCAACGAUCGAGGUCGAUUUUGAGAUUGAGCAUACGGGAUCCUUUAUUUAAGGCCCAUUCUCUCGGUGCACCAUGCAUUUUACAUGCGCCUACGAUACUUCCUCCCUCGGUGGCCUCAUACAUUAUUGCCGUGUAAUUGCACGGAACGGUCCACGAGUACUCCGGAGUACCCACACAAGAGAGGUCCUUUAUGAAGUUAUGCUCCAACUCGGGUACACGUAAAUACGCAUUAUACCGAGAUAACACGUAGGUAAACCCAC
This 870-nucleotide long non-coding RNA is filed under the name Orussus abietinus. RNAcentral describes it as "uncharacterized LOC105699915, transcript variant X3". The record is from RNAcentral. Lineage: Eukaryota; Metazoa; Arthropoda; Insecta; Hymenoptera; Orussidae.